This is a long non-coding RNA of Saccostrea cuccullata (small rock oyster), 519 nucleotides long. RefSeq lists it as uncharacterized. Lineage: Eukaryota; Metazoa; Mollusca; Bivalvia; Ostreida; Ostreidae. The transcript is spliced from 3 exons. The record is from RefSeq and is a predicted model, not a curated record.
GUUACGGGUAUGAUAUCAGAUACACGCCACGGGAGUUCAUACAGCUUUGCAGCUGUCUGUUAGUCAGUCGGCAGCAGAAUACGUCUACAAAUGAAGUCAAUAGGGAAGGACCUUUGCAGGCUUCUGGAUGUGCUGCAGAGAAGUUCUCAUGAUAACCAUAAGAUACCAGCAACGAUAGGUUUUUAUGGUUAGAGCGUAUGCUACACAUAUACCGUACUACAAAUUUCCGCCAUCAAUGGAGAAAACCACUUCAACCAAUACAUAUUUACAUGUACUACCAAAGACUCCAAUUUGUCCAAAAGUAAGAGAAAUAACUGUUACUAGGACUGAGAGGAAGGAAAUGUACCACAAUGACAGAGGUGAAAGCAGUAAACAUAAGGACAGCUCCUACAAGCUUUUUGGAUUCUUUGUCUACCAAUGACAAUGUGAUGGUACUUGCAUGGUCAUAAUAUAAGAAAUUAAUAUGUUUCUGUUCUUUUUCAAGCAUUAUACUGUCUUGUGAAAUUAUGGAAAAAAUUG